This 509-nucleotide ribosomal RNA is filed under the name uncultured Sordariales. RNAcentral describes it as "eukaryotic LSU rRNA". The stretch from base 148 to 302 matches the Rfam family "5.8S ribosomal RNA". The record is from RNAcentral. Lineage: Eukaryota; Fungi; Ascomycota; Sordariomycetes; Sordariales.
CGGGUGGUUUGUCGCCUCGCCGUUUACCGCGGCGCGGCUUAAACAAACCCCCCGGCCCUCCCCUCGCGGGGGGGGCCCGCCGGAGGUCACGUUAACUCUUGAUACCCGUAACGGCCUCUCUGAGUAUACUGUACUGAAUUAAGUCAAAACUUUCAACAGCGGAUCUCUUGGUUCUGGCAUCGAUGAAGAACGCAGCGAAAUGCGAUAAGUAAUGUGAAUUGCAGAAUUCAGAUGAAUCAUCGAAUCUUUGAACGCACAUUGCGCCCGCCAGUAUUCUGGCGGGCAUGCCUGUUCGAGCGUCAUUUCAACCUUCAAGCCCCUGGGCUUGUGUUGGGGACCUGCGGCUGCCCGCAGGCCCUGAAAUAUUGUGGCAGACUCGCUAGUCACACCCGAGCGAAAUCUCAUCUAUCUCGCUUAGGGCGCGCUGCGCGGUUCUGGACGCUUAAACUCUCCCCCUAUCUAAACCCUAAGGUUGACCUCGGAUCAGGUUCGAAGACCCCGCCUGAACU